Molecule: transfer RNA, 72 nt
Filed under: Spirochaetota bacterium
Lineage: Bacteria; Pseudomonadati; Spirochaetota
Description: Spirochaetes bacterium tRNA-Arg
Rfam family: tRNA
About the family: Transfer RNA (tRNA) molecules are approximately 80 nucleotides in length.
Source: RNAcentral
GCGUCCGUAGCUCAGUGGAUAGAGCAGUGGACUUCGAAUCCGAAGGUCGCAGGUUCGAAUCCUGCCGGGCGC